AGCCCGCCNNNNNNNNNNNNNNNAGCAUGUUUCAUUUGUCCCCAUACACACAUUCCCCCAAAGAAAAAAAAAAAAAAAAAAAGACAAAAAAAAGACAAAAAAAAAGAAAAGAAAAAAGCAACUCUUCCUGCCUUUACCAAAGGGCAGCGAGUUGCUAACACGGCACCUUCGGAGCUGCCCGCCGGACUUCUCCGGACACCAACACCAAACAAAGCCAUUGAAUUCCAACGAGCACGGUUCGGACCAUGCUUUCCAGUAAAAGUUCUCCCGCCGGCCUCUUCCCACCUCCUUUCCAGGAGGCACCAAACACUCUGGGGUUAUUAGAAAGGGGCUUCAGCUACAUUCAAGACAGAAUUUGAGUGCAGAUCCUGGAUCCCACGAGAGGAGCGGGAUGGAUGGUAAAUGGCAGCUAGGUACGUCCCGGGCAGGGAUAUCCAUCUUUUCCCAGCUUCGGGCAGGACCAGGCUUCCUGCGAGCCGGUCCCGGCCGUGGGGAGGGAAAGGACCAGCCGUGGGGAGGGAAACGGUGCCCCAGACGCACCCACUGACGAGCGGGACCUCGGCACCGCUGGAGCCCACGGAAGCGGAACCCGGACCUGGCCUCGCCGGGGCCCGCGCCCAGGAGCCAAAACGGAGACGCCACGAGGAACGGGGCGGGUACGGUGCACCGGUGCUGGGAGCCCCACGGCACCCUGUCCUGAGCGGGGCUGGGCUAGCACCCGUGGGUGCCUGGGACCCCAUCCUGAGUGGGGCCUGGCCGGCACCCACUGGUGCCCAGGGAGCCCUGCCGCAUCCUGUCCCCAGUGGGGCCUGGCCAGCACCCACUGGUGCGCAGGGAGCCCAUCCUGAGUGGGGCCUGGCCAGCACCCGCCCAGGGAGCCCAGCCCCAUCCCGCCCCCGGCAGGGGCGAGCCAGCAGCCCCUCACGCCUGGAGCUGGGCUCUGUCCCGAGUGGGGCCCCGCCAGCACCCACUCGUGUCCAGCAGCGGGCCCCGUCCCGAGCGGAGAAGACGCUCCUGUGGACGAGAAAAAGCAAGGCGCUGACCACCAUCCAGCAGGCAGCCCAGCAGAGGAAGAACACGAGGGUGCAUCGCCUCCAGAUUUUGAGCCGCAGCCUCUUUAAGCCGGGGAUGCCCCUCAUCGCCGAGGCCGGGCUGGGCCGGGUGGGCGCCUCAGGCGGUGCAGCCCCGAGCGAGCGGCCGCCGCCGCCGCGCUCCCUGCCUCCUCACACACUUGUCCCGCUCCAUGCCGGCGGCCCUCGGCGGGCGCCCCCGCCCCGCCGCCGCUGCUCGCCCCCGUGCCGG
RNAcentral lists this long non-coding RNA (1302 nucleotides) under Apteryx rowi (Okarito brown kiwi). RNAcentral describes it as "lncRNA (ENSARWG00000004214.1)". Lineage: Eukaryota; Metazoa; Chordata; Aves; Apterygiformes; Apterygidae. The record is from RNAcentral.